Molecule: ribosomal RNA, 395 nt
Filed under: uncultured bacterium
Lineage: Bacteria
Description: bacterial SSU rRNA
Rfam family: Bacterial small subunit ribosomal RNA
Source: RNAcentral
GUGCCAGCCGCCGCGGUAAUACAGAGGGUGCAAGCGUUGUUCGGAAUUAUUGGGCGUAAAGCGCGUGUAGGCGGUUUGGUAAGUCGGAUGUGAAAGCCCUCGGCUCAACCGAGGAAGGGCGUUCGAAACUACUAAACUUGAGUGCCAGAGGGGGUGGCGGAAUUCCCCAAGUAGAGGUGAAAUUCGUAGAUAUGGGGAGGAACACCAGUGGCGAAGGCGGCCACCUGGAUGGUAACUGACGCUGAGACGCGAAAGCGUGGGUAGCAAACAGGAUUAGAUACCCUGGUAGUCCACGCUGUAAACGAUGAGAACUAGGUGUCGUGGGUGUUGACCCCCGCGGUGCCGUCGCUAACGCAUUAAGUUCUCCGCCUGGGAAGUACGGUCGCAAGAUUAAA